Molecule: unclassified non-coding RNA, 503 nt
Filed under: Hevea brasiliensis (rubber tree)
Lineage: Eukaryota; Viridiplantae; Streptophyta; Magnoliopsida; Malpighiales; Euphorbiaceae
Source: RNAcentral
GUUUUUGCUUGGGUGCAACAACUUUGAUUAAAAAUGGUAGCGGUGGUAUUAUUAUUCAAGGUAGGUAUAGAUCAAUGGGACUGAUUAUUUUCAUUUUGGGCUAAUUGCAUAUUUUAUGGUCAUAUGUAUGGGAAACAUUUAUUGUGGGAGGGAACAACGUAUCAGAGAGCGUGUGGAAUGUGAAUGUGGCAAUUUGAUGUUGUAGGGAGAUGCUUUAGCAGUGACGAGGGAUUAGGGUCUUAAGAAAACUCUGACAAUUUGGAAAUUUAGCCUAUUUGUAAUGCUCAAAGUACUAUAGAUAAUUGGACAAGCUGGGGAUUAUGAUCUAGUUGUCCUACAUAUCCUGUUCUUAAGUAUGAUCUACCUUCCUUGCAAAAUUGACCUCAUAUGGUAACUAGCUCUAGUUAGUAAAUCUUUUAGCACUGAUUGUACAUGUCGGAUUCUGAAUGUUAGAUGCAGACUCAAUUGCUGCACACUGUAUGGAACUAUUUCUGCACUCUUUG